Molecule: ribosomal RNA, 367 nt
Filed under: uncultured bacterium
Lineage: Bacteria
Description: bacterial SSU rRNA
Rfam family: Bacterial small subunit ribosomal RNA
Source: RNAcentral
CGAUAGCUAAUACCGCAUAACGUCCUGUUCAUUACGAGCGGGACCAAAGAGGGGACCUUCGGGCCUCUCGCGCUAAGAUUAGCCCAGGUGGGAUUAGCUAGUUGGUGAGGUAAAGGCUCACCAAGGCAACGAUCCCUAGCUGGUCUGAGAGGAUGAUCAGCCACACUGGAACUGAGACACGGUCCAGACUCCUACGGGAGGCAGCAGUGGGGAAUAUUGCACAAUGGGGGAAACCCUGAUGCAGCCAUGCCGCGUGUAUGAAGAAGGCCUUCGGGUUGUAAAGUACUUUCAGUCGUGAGGAAGGCAUUGUAGUUAAUAGCUGCAGUGCUUGACGUUAGCGACAGAAGAAGCACCGGCUAACUCCGUG